GACGAACGCUGGCGGCGUGCCUAAUACAUGCAAGUCGAACGCUUCUUUCCUCCCGAGUGCUUGCACUCAAUUGGAAAGAGGAGUGGCGGACGGGUGAGUAACACGUGGGUAACCUACCCACCAGAGGGGGAUAACACUUGGAAACAGGUGCUAAUACCGCAUAACAGUUUAUGCCGCAUGGCAUAAGAGUGAAAGGCGCUUUCGGGUGUCGCUGAUGGAUGGACCCGCGGUGCAUUAGCUAGUUGGUGAGGUAACGGCUCACCAAGGCCACGAUGCAUAGCCGACCUGAGAGGGUGAUCGGCCACACUGGGACUGAGACACGGCCCAGACUCCUACGGGAGGCAGCAGUAGGGAAUCUUCGGCAAUGGACGAAAGUCUGACCGAGCAACGCCGCGUGAGUGAAGAAGGUUUUCGGAUCGUAAAACUCUGUUGUUAGAGAAGAACAAGGACGUUAGUAACUGAACGUCCCCUGACGGUAUCUAACCAGAAAGCCACGGCUAACUACGUG
Molecule: ribosomal RNA, 508 nt
Filed under: uncultured bacterium
Lineage: Bacteria
Description: partial 16S ribosomal RNA
Rfam family: Bacterial small subunit ribosomal RNA
Source: RNAcentral